CCUACGGGCGGCAGCAGUGAGGAAUAUUGGUCAAUGGGCGGGAGCCUGAACCAGCCAAGCAGCGUGAAGGAAGACGGCGCCAGGGGUUGUAAACUUCUUUUGUCGGGGAAUAAAGCGCGCCACGCGUGGCGUUGUGCGUGUACUUGAAGAAUAAGCAUCGGCUAACUCCGUGCCAGCAGCCGCGGUAAUACGGAGGAUGCGAGCGUUAUCCGGAUUUAUUGGGUUUAAAGGGAGCGUAGGCGGUCCUGAAAGUCAGCGGUAAAAGCUUGGGGCUCAACCGCGACGAGCCGUUGAAACUGGCAGACUAGAGCAGACGUGAGGUACGCGGAAUGCGCGGUGUAGCGGUGAAAUGCUUAGAUAUCACGAAGAACUCCGAUUGCGAAGGCAGCGUAC
This 393-nucleotide ribosomal RNA is filed under the name uncultured bacterium. RNAcentral's name for it is "partial 16S ribosomal RNA". It matches the Rfam family "Bacterial small subunit ribosomal RNA", at positions 338 to 729 of the family's 1533-position model. The record is from RNAcentral.